AUUGAACGCUGGCGGCGUGCCUAACACAUGCAAGUCGAGCGGUAACAGGUGUAGCAAUACAUGCUGACGAGCGGCGGACGGGUGAGUAACGCUUGGGAAUCUGCCUGUUAGUGGGGGACAACCCGGGGAAACUCGGGCUAAUACCGCAUACGCACUACGGUGGAAAGCCGGGGACCGCAAGGCCUGGCGCUAACAGAUGAGCCCAAGUCGGAUUAGCUAGUUGUAGGUAACGCCUACCAAGGCGACGAUCCGUAACUGGUCUGAGAGGACGACCAGUCACACCGGAACUGAGACACGGUCCGGACUCCUACGGGAGGCAGCAGUGGGGAAUAUUGGACAAUGGGCGAAAGCCUGAUCCAGCGACGCCGCGUGGGUGAAGAAGGCCUGC
RNAcentral lists this ribosomal RNA (388 nucleotides) under uncultured bacterium. RNAcentral's name for it is "bacterial SSU rRNA". It matches the Rfam family "Bacterial small subunit ribosomal RNA", at positions 29 to 419 of the family's 1533-position model. The record is from RNAcentral.